GAAACUUUUUAUUUUUGACAAAUUUUUGUGUAGAAUUAAGAUCACUAUGCUUAAGCAAAAGUAACACGCGCCCCACGUAUAUUUGUCGAAUUCCCUCUUUCCAUAUCUCGAAUUUAAUGAUCAUAAUUAUAAAGACCUUAUCUUUCCUUCCCACCACAAACCCCUCCCGUUCCCCCACUGUAAAAACCAGUUCACUCGUUGUUUUCACUGCACCAGUCACAACCUCCCCCACUAUUUUCACAGUUCUUUUCUUUACAAACUCUCUAAUAUGAUAUCUUCUGUUAGUGUUCCAGCUGCUUCAUCUUCCUCAAGGGACAAGAAGAGUGAGCGAUGCUCUUUGAUUAUUGAGAUGAACAUAUGAGUUUUAAGCAGAUGAUGCUCUAACUGAUGAGCUCUGGAACGCGUGUGCAAGAACUAUAGCUGGUAUUUUGAAAGAAGAACAAAAUAGCGUACUACUUCUUCGAGGAUCUGGAACAUGACUUCUGCAAUUUGUGUUCUCAAAUCGUUAUAAAUGAUCCUGGAGGAAACAGUACAAUAUCUGUGCUUCUUUUAGGGACACCAGCCAUGCUACUUGCGCACACAUUCAAAGCUCAUCACUUGAGAUUAUAUCAUCUGCAUAAAAUCCAUUGAAGGACAAUCAAAAGACCAUAUCUGCAAAAAUAAAAAUCAAGAGAGGAACUGAAACAUUAUAUGCAAAGCAUUACAACUCACUUUCUGGGUCAUUGGGGAAUGAUGGAACAGCUGGAGCAGUGUUGAACUUUGAAGAAGCCAUGGAUGGGAAGUGAGAUAUGAUGAGGGUUUUGUAAGGAAAGGAACUUGUGAAAAUGGUGGUGGUGAAGUGAAAAAAUGAGGGGGGGGUGAACUGGUUUUUAUAUUGGGGGAGAAGGGG
RNAcentral lists this long non-coding RNA (889 nucleotides) under Linum usitatissimum (flax). RNAcentral's name for it is "long non-coding RNA (LUSI_LNC004006)". Lineage: Eukaryota; Viridiplantae; Streptophyta; Magnoliopsida; Malpighiales; Linaceae. The record is from RNAcentral.